UGUUCUUUGUCUGGAUGAUGUGGAGGGUAAAGAUGCUGACUCACUAGCCAUGGUCUGCUGAAUAAUUAUUCCAUUGGUGUUGUGCAUUGUUCCUUUACCUGAAAGUGUCUCCUCUCCAAAGUCAUUAUUAUCCCAGACAAGUGUGGCAGGUAAUUCAACCCUGAUGUUUUCUGAGAUGUAUAUAUCUCCUCUCUCCACUUGUAGGUGAGCAAGGGCUGUAUCAUGCUCAAGAACCUGGGAGUUAGAUGAGCAGUGGCCAAGACCAUUCAACAACCCUAUGAGCUGUGCUGAGCCUGUCAUAUGCCGAACUGCCAUUGCAAGAGAGCACUGUUUUGGCAUGAGCCACCGUCCUUUGGUCGCCAAGAUGAGGAGGAAGAGGAGGAAGUGGCAACUUCAUGAAUGAUCUCCUCAGCUGUCAGAUCAUCAACAUACACAAGAUAUGUUGUAGAUGCCUUUUGAAAUCUCAAGAAAGGAUGUGACUUUUGAAGUCUUGCCUUGAGUACCGUGUGUAGUCUCUGAAACAGGAGAAGUGGUAUCGUGCCUCACUAGCCACUAGGUCCCUGUCACGAAUGUGUAGAAGCAGACUCUCAUCCUGUCUUUCUUCAGCAGCAAGAAGUAACUUCCCUGCAUGUUCACUGCAGCUAGAUGGGCAAAUGACUCCCUCC
This is a non-coding RNA of Epinephelus lanceolatus (giant grouper), 665 nucleotides long. NCBI's taxonomy places the organism in Eukaryota, Metazoa, Chordata, Actinopteri, Perciformes, Serranidae. The record is from RefSeq and is a predicted model, not a curated record.